UAAGAGACUGACGUUUGACCUUUGAACUAAAAUGUCAGCUUCCAUUGAACAUGGCAGAUAAAUAUUUUGAUCAAAUCAGAAAUCAAUUUUCCAAGAACCGCUUCCUAAAACAUGGACUUCCAUUUAUUCUGUUGGUAGUUGGAGGUUCAUUUGCCUUAGAGAAUCUUACCAGACUUAGAUAUGAAUUUAGACAGAGAAAAGAGGUAGAUUUUGAAAAAGCGGAGAAAGAGCUUGGUAUUAAAAUAAAGAAAAAAGAAACUCCAGUUUCAAUAGAAUCACUUCAUCAAGAAAUGAAACAGAAGGACUUAGAUUCCUGGCAAAAUAUCAGAGGUCCAAGACCAUGGGAAUCCUCAAAAGAUAUUCAAGAAGAAUUGAGAAAGGGUACAAAAGUGUGAAAAUCAUUCAUUGGUUUCAGCGAACUCACUAUCAACCGGUUUUGUCAUAAUAAAAUGGGUACAUUAUUAUAAUGACCCCAGUUUACCUACGGAAAGAAACCACUGUAUUAUAGGGAGAUUUUUUUUUUUUGUGUAAAAGAUUUCUAAAAUGAAAGUAGGAUGUGGUGUUUUAAACCGAUCCAAUGUUAAUAUGUGUAAAUCUGUGUUGUGGCUGAUUGAAAUAUUUUAGAACAUUUUAUAAGUUGUGUGUUGUCUUGGAAUUUUAUAGUAAAUUUAAAUUUUGUUAAUGAGAGAUUCAUGUGUGAUAUAUUAGAUAUAUAGAAAUUGA
RNA transcript from Patella vulgata (common limpet), 723 nucleotides. RefSeq lists it as uncharacterized. Lineage: Eukaryota; Metazoa; Mollusca; Gastropoda; Patellidae. The record is from RefSeq and is a predicted model, not a curated record. The transcript has 4 exons.